CCUACGGGAGGCAGCAGUGGGGAAUAUUGGACAAUGGGCGCAAGCCUGAUCCAGCCAUGCCGCGUGAGUGAUGAAGGCCCUAGGGUUGUAAAGCUCUUUCACCGGUGAAGAUAAUGACGGUAACCGGAGAAGAAGCCCCGGCUAACUUCGUGCCAGCAGCCGCGGUAAUACGAAGGGGGCUAGCGUUGUUCGGAUUUACUGGGCGUAAAGCGCACGUAGGCGGACUAUUAAGUCAGGGGUGAAAUCCCGGGGCUAAACCCCGGAACUGCCUUUGAUACUGGAAGUCUUGAGUUCGAGAGAGGUGAGUGAAAUUCCGAGUGUAGAGGUAAAAUUCGUAGAUAUUCGGAGGAACACCAGUGGCGAGGGCGGCUCACGGGC
This 378-nucleotide ribosomal RNA is filed under the name uncultured Phyllobacteriaceae bacterium. RNAcentral's name for it is "partial 16S ribosomal RNA". It matches the Rfam family "Bacterial small subunit ribosomal RNA", at positions 338 to 733 of the family's 1533-position model. The record is from RNAcentral. Lineage: Bacteria; Pseudomonadati; Pseudomonadota; Alphaproteobacteria; Hyphomicrobiales; Phyllobacteriaceae.